AACGCACAUUGCACUCCUUGGUAUUCCGAGGAGUAUGCCUGUUUCAGUAUCAUGAGCACUCUCACACCUAACCUUUGGGUUAUGAUGUGGAAUUGGGAUGCGCCGAUUUUCAUUAGUCGGCACUCCUAAAAUGUAGCUCUUGGCUGUUUCCUACUACAGCAGUUUGGCCUAAUAGUUUUGACUUUUGUCAAAUCUUUGGCUACAUUUGCUUCUGGAAAUCAGUCUUGAUAAUACAGAAAACUCAUUUCAAACUUUGAUCUGAAAUCAGGUAGGGCUACCCGCUGAACUUAA
RNAcentral lists this unclassified non-coding RNA (291 nucleotides) under uncultured Umbelopsis. RNAcentral's name for it is "sequence contains ITS2". Lineage: Eukaryota; Fungi; Mucoromycota; Umbelopsidomycetes; Umbelopsidales; Umbelopsidaceae. The record is from RNAcentral.